Molecule: transfer RNA, 73 nt
Filed under: Stegodyphus mimosarum
Lineage: Eukaryota; Metazoa; Arthropoda; Arachnida; Araneae; Eresidae
Rfam family: tRNA
About the family: Transfer RNA (tRNA) molecules are approximately 80 nucleotides in length. Their secondary structure includes four short double-helical elements and three loops (D, anti-codon, and T loops). Further hydrogen bonds mediate the characteristic L-shaped molecular structure. tRNAs have two regions of fundamental functional importance: the anti-codon, which is responsible for specific mRNA codon recognition, and the 3' end, to which the tRNAs corresponding amino acid is attached (by aminoacyl-tRNA synthetases). tRNAs cope with the degeneracy of the genetic code in two manners: having more than one tRNA (with a specific anti-codon) for a particular amino acid; and 'wobble' base-pairing, i.e. permitting non-standard base-pairing at the 3rd anti-codon position.
Source: Rfam by way of RNAcentral
GCCUUCGUGGUGUAGUGGUCUGCAUGUUCGACGCGUAACCGAGAGGUCCGUGGUUCGAUUCCCGGCGAAGGUG